This 76-nucleotide transfer RNA is filed under the name Syntrophaceae bacterium. Its description in RNAcentral is "tRNA-Lys". It matches the Rfam family "tRNA". From Rfam's summary of the family: Transfer RNA (tRNA) molecules are approximately 80 nucleotides in length. RNAcentral also lists the same sequence under 1 other name. The record is from RNAcentral. Lineage: Bacteria; Pseudomonadati; Thermodesulfobacteriota; Syntrophia; Syntrophales; Syntrophaceae.
GGGCCCUUAGCUCAGCUGGUAGAGCAACUGACUCUUAAUCAGUGGGUCGCCGGUUCGAACCCGGCAGGGCUCACCA